CGGCUCACCAAGGCAACGAUGUCUAGGGGUUCUGAGAGGAAGGUCCCCCACACUGGUACUGAGACACGGACCAGACUCCUACGGGAGGCAGCAGUGAGGAAUAUUGGUCAAUGGACGCAAGUCUGAACCAGCCAUGUCGCGUGCAGGAAGACUGCCCUAUGGGUUGUAAACUGCUUUUAUAUGGGAAGAAUGUGACCUACGUGUAGGUUUUUGCCGGUACCAUAUGAAUAAGCAUCGGCUAACUCCGUGCCAGCAGCCGCGGUAAUACGGAGGAUGCAAGCGUUAUCCGGAUUCAUUGGGUUUAAAGGGUGCGUAGGCGGAAUAGUAAGUCAGAGGUGAAAGUUUGCGGCUCAACCGUAAAAUUGCCUUUGAUACUGUUAUUCUUGAGUACAUUUGAGGUAGGCGGAAUGUGGCGUGUAGCGGUGAAAUGCUUAGAUAUGCCACAGAACACCGAUUGCGAAGGCAGCUUACUAAACUGUAACUGACGCUGAUGCACGAAAGCGUGGGGAUCGAACAGGAUUAGAUACCCUGGUAGUCCACGCCGUAAACGAUGAUACUAGCUGUUUGCGAUACACAGUAAGCGGCAAAGCGAAAGCAUUAAGUUAUCCACCUGGGGAGUACGUUGGCAACAAUGAAACUCAAAGGAAUUGACGGGGGCCCGCACAAGCGGAGGAACAUGUGGUUUAAUUCGAUGAUACGCGAGGAACCUUACCUGGACUUAAAUGUAGGCUGCAUAGAUCAGAGAUGGUCUUUUCUUCGGACUGCUUACAAGGUGCUGCAUGGUUGUCGUCAGCUCGUGCCGUGAGGUGUCGGGUUAAGUCCCAUAACGAGCGCAACCCACGUUGUUAGUUACCAGCACAUAAUGGUGGGCACUCUAACAAGACUGCCGGUGUAAACCGCGAGGAAGGUGUGGAUGACGUCAAAUCAGCACGGCCCUUACGUCCAGGGCUACACACGUGUUACAAUGGCCGGUACAGAGGGCCGCUACCUGGUGACAGGAUGCGAAUCUCAAAAACCGGUCUCAGUUCGGAUCGAAGUCUGCAACCCGACUUCGUGAAGCUGGAUUCGCUAGUAAUCGCGCAUCAGCCAUGGCGCGGUGAAUACGUUCCCGGGCCUUGUACACACCGCCCGUCAAACCAUGGAAGCCGGGGGUACCUGAAGUCUGUGACCGCAAGGAGCGGCCUAGGGUAAAUCUGGUAACUAGGGUUAAGUCGUAACAAGGUA
Molecule: ribosomal RNA, 1224 nt
Filed under: metagenome
Description: bacterial SSU rRNA
Rfam family: Bacterial small subunit ribosomal RNA
Source: RNAcentral